GUUGUACUUCCUCCGUUCCGAAUUAUUUGUCUUAGAUUUAUCUAGAUACGGAGGUAUCUAGCACUAAAAUGAGUCUAGAUACAUCCGUAUCUAGACAAAUCCAAGACAAGUAAUUCGGAACGGAGGGAGUAGCAU
Triticum aestivum (bread wheat) is the source of this 135-nucleotide non-coding RNA. NCBI's taxonomy places the organism in Eukaryota, Viridiplantae, Streptophyta, Magnoliopsida, Poales, Poaceae. The record is from Rfam.